CCUCAUGGCGGCGGACUACACAUGCGAGUCGAGCGGAUGACAGGAGCUUGCUCCUUGAUUCAGCGGCGGACGGGUGAGUAAUGCCUAGGAAUCUGCCUGGUAGUGGGGGACAACGUUUCGAAAGGAACGCUAAUACCGCAUACGUCCUACGGGAGAAAGCAGGGGACCUUCGGGCCUUGCGCUAUCAGAUGAGCCUAGGUCGGAUUAGCUAGUUGGUGGGGUAAUGGCUCACCAAGGCGACGAUCCGUAACUGGUCUGAGAGGAUGAUCAGUCACACUGGAACUGAGACACGGUCCAGACUCCUACGGGAGGCAGCAGUGGGGAAUAUUGGACAAUGGGCGAAAGCCUGAUCCAGCCAUGCCGCGUGUGUGAAGAAGGUCUUCGGAUUGUAAAGCACUUUAAGUUGGGAGGAAGGGCAGUAAGUUAAUACCUUGCUGUUUUGACGUUACCGACAGAAUAAGCACCGGCUAACUCUGUGCCAGCAGCCGCGGUAAUACAGAGGGUGCAAGCGUUAAUCGGAAUUACUGGGCGUAAAGCGCGCGUAGGUGGUUUGUUAAGUUGGAUGUGAAAGCCCCGGGCUCAACCUGGGAACUGCAUCCAAAACUGGCAAGCUAGAGUACGGUAGAGGGUGGUGGAAUUUCCUGUGUAGCGGUGAAAUGCGUAGAUAUAGGAAGGAACACCAGUGGCGAAGGCGACCACCUGGACUGAUACUGACACUGAGGUGCGAAAGCGUGGGGAGCAAACAGGAUUAGAUACCCUGGUAGUCCACGCCGUAAACGAUGUCAACUAGCCGUUGGAAUCCUUGAGAUUUUAGUGGCGCAGCUAACGCAUUAAGUUGACCGCCUGGGGAGUACGGCCGCAAGGUUAAAACUCAAAUGAAUUGACGGGGGCCCGCACAACCGGUGGAGCAUGUGGUUUAUUCGAAGCAACGCGAGACCCUA
This 941-nucleotide ribosomal RNA is filed under the name Pseudomonas sp. 3-8(2011). Its description in RNAcentral is "bacterial SSU rRNA". It matches the Rfam family "Bacterial small subunit ribosomal RNA", at positions 35 to 972 of the family's 1533-position model. Lineage: Bacteria; Pseudomonadati; Pseudomonadota; Gammaproteobacteria; Pseudomonadales; Pseudomonadaceae. The record is from RNAcentral.